GUGGGGAAUCUUAGACAAUGGGCGCAAGCCUGAUCUAGCCAUGCCGCGUGAGCGAUGAAGGCCUUAGGGUUGUAAAGCUCUUUCAGUGGGGAAGAUAAUGACUGUACCCACAGAAGAAGCCCCGGCUAACUCCGUGCCAGCAGCCGCGGUAAUACGGAGGGGGCUAGCGUUGUUCGGAAUUACUGGGCGUAAAGCGCACGUAGGCGGACUGGAAAGUCAGGGGUGAAAUCCCGGGGCUCAACCCCGGAACUGCCUUUGAAACUCCCAGUCUUGAGGUCGAGAGAGGUGAGUGGAAGUCCGAGUGUAGAGGUGAAAUUCGUAGAUAUUCGGAGGAACACCAGUGGCGAAGGCGGCUCACUGGCUCGAUACUGACGCUGAGGUGCGAAAGCGUGGGGAGCAAACAGGAUUAGAAACCCGUGUAGUCC
RNAcentral lists this ribosomal RNA (425 nucleotides) under uncultured bacterium. Its description in RNAcentral is "partial 16S ribosomal RNA". It matches the Rfam family "Bacterial small subunit ribosomal RNA", at positions 354 to 796 of the family's 1533-position model. The record is from RNAcentral.